RNA transcript from Scophthalmus maximus (turbot), 3036 nucleotides. It is a transcript of the gene named E3 ubiquitin/ISG15 ligase TRIM25-like, with no coding region annotated. The transcript is spliced from 8 exons. The record is from RefSeq and is a predicted model, not a curated record. Lineage: Eukaryota; Metazoa; Chordata; Actinopteri; Pleuronectiformes; Scophthalmidae.
CAUUUACUAAUGCUUUUAGAUCAGCUAUAAGCCUUUAAUAAGAACACGUUUUGGGGUUGCCAGGUCAAGAAAAAUCCCUCUGCCUGCUGUUUAUGCUUCACCAGAAUCACACUUGCUUUUUCUUUGUAGUUUUUCAGUUCAUCAGGGGACUAAAGACCAUUUGACCUCUGACCCUCUGGUCACCGAUUACAAGUGAGAUUAUCACGUCACUGUUGUAAUGUCCUAACGUGUUACUGCAGAGCUGAAGGUUCAUUAACCUAUGUUGAUGAGUUAUUAACAUUCAUAGCUACAGAUCAACAUGUCAGUAGACAUCUGCUCAAGAAACAGAGUAAUUCAUAAACUAUAACUAUUUUUGUACCCCCUUGCUUAAAAUUUAAUAUAUAUAUAUAUUUUUUGUUUUUGGGUGCUUAUUGCAAAGUCAUGUUUAAUUAGAUAUUAACAGUUCCUGUUUGCACUGUCACCAUUGGCGUAUACAGAGGAUGAGGGGUUACUCUUUUUUUUCCCUAAAUCCGACACAGUAUGGGAUCAAACUUUUAGCCCGAUGCAAACACGAGGUGAACAGAACCUUUUACAGAACGAAAAAGAAAAUUCUGUGAAGAAUCUUUACAGAACCAGCUUUUAGGCCUGCCUCCCUCUUGUAAUUGUCGAGCCAGCAUUGCCCGGGUGGCAGGAUGCUGUCACUGAGUAGAGACAAUAUUAAUGUGAAUAAUUAAACCUGUGCUUUAACUGUCCGAAACGUAUCAAGAAAAUAACUCGUUUUUUUUUUGUUGUUUUUUUUUACUAAUACAAGUUUUCUGAUAGUAGAAUCCUGUAUUCACUUUUUAAACUAACAUCUCAUAUUUAGAGUACCAGUUAUACUUGUUCCUCCUCCUCUGAGAUCCCGCCCCACCAGGAAGUUAUAACAUAAACUCAACAGUGCUUUCACUUGUGUGUACAUGCCCUGCAGUGUGUGUACGGACUACAGGUGUCAAACAUUACAGAACUUCACAGGAGACGAAUGGAGAAUGGAGGAUUCAGAGAAAACCCACCUGGGGAGAAUGCUGAUGUGCACCGUGUGCAGGGACAUUUUCAAGGAUCCUCGACAGCUGCCCUGUGGACACAGCAUGUGUGCGGGCUGUCUGGAAAACAUGAUGGGUCACGCCACAGACUCUCCCUUCCGCUGUCCCGACUGCAGGACGUCCUUUGGACCGAGCAUUGAGGUCAGGCUGCAGAAGAACUACGCGCUGGCAAACAUCACAGAGGAUUUCAGGGAGAGCCGCAGAAGGAGGCAGGAGCAGACAAAAAGUGUAUACUGCGACUGCUGUCCAGGGAAAAAAGCCUUGGCCACACAAACAUGUUUGAAGUGCGAGGUGUCGAUGUGCACAGAGCACGUCGAGGGUCACCUGGAGCUCCCAGCGUUCACGGGACACCCCCUGGUCAGGCCCCUGGGUGACCUCCAGGAGAGGAAAUGCCCGCAGCAUGGCGGCGAGGUGCCGAGGUACUACUGCAACACGUCCAGGCGCUACAUCUGCAACAUGUGCGCCCUGGAGAGCAAGCAGCAAAACAUAGCCACUGAGGCCUCCACUGCGCUGCGGAGACAAAUGAUUGAGUACAUGGACCAGCGCUUAACAGCCCUCGAGCAGCAAAUCACAGGAUCCACGGACUCUGUAAGAAGACUGAAAGAAGACAUCCAACGCGAAAGACUGAAACUUAUCCCCGCAGACUUGUGCCUCAACAGUGUCACAGUGGUUCUGCUCUGUCUGUGGUUCAUAGUUCUGUAUUAUGCCUACAACUACUUUGUGGAAAACCUGACACUAAGAGAAACGCUGGACAAGCAGCAGAACUAUGCGCAUCAUAUCUGUUCCUCCAUUGCAGGUGAGAAGUCCAGUCUCAAGGCAGCAACAAAACUUAAGAGAAAUCUUGGUAAAGCAUCCAAUGACAAGCCACACGCCUGCUGAAGAUGAAUGUACAAAGGACCAAUCGGUUGGAAACAAGGCGUCAGAAUGGAAGUGUUAAAGGUCCCUCUCCACCCGGUGCUUCCCCUCUUGGUACCCACAUCUGGGAGGUGGUGAUGGUUCAUUUUGAGAAAUGCAACAUCACAUUCAGUCCUGUGGAGUCCACCAUCCACACGAGUUCAAGGCUUAAGCGACUCAGUGUCUCUGGGCCAGUGUCUCUGGGUUUGGAGCUUGAGCUUGACCCUUGUGGAUCAACCCAGCAGAAUCUAUUGUCAAAGCCUCCUGAAUAAAUGUGGAAUAACUGUUGUUGGAACCAUAUUCAACUAAAACUGAAUCCAGACUGCCGCUAGUCCAGUGGAUUGCUCUGAAAGCGGACGUGUUUCUAAGAGUAGAGACCUUAAUAAGUUAAAGAUAUAAAAUGGAACAUCUGCCUCAGGUAUGUUGUACUGUGAUGUUUUAUGAUAUAUACAAUGUUUAAUUAACCGUUUGAUUGUAGAUCAAUUUUUUCUAUAUACAUUUGCAAUACACUGUAUUCCUAUAAAACGUGUUCAAGGGAUUUUGUAUCUUUACAAGGAAAAGAAAAGGUACUAUUAUUGUGGACAAAUUGCAACAACACAUUGACAACACUACUUUUUGGUAGGAUUGUCCCAUUUUCCUACCUAUCUCCUCAGACAAAUAGGAAAUAGGCAAUAACAGGGUAUCUACAGCUAUAAACAAGUACAAUUUUAGACUUUUGAAGACCCUUUUAAUACCACUUGAAAUGAAAAGAAUGACUAAACUUGCAAUGGAAAUACACGCCCACAAGUAAUGUUUUUUGGGGGGUGUCCAUUCAGUAUCGACAUCUACUAACCUCACUUUGUAUUGAAAGAGAAUUCCAGCUUCUCUUCUUUUGAGAGAUGACAACCCGACUUUUCUGAACACCAGACACUUUGGUCUCAAGUCCAAGACAGUGGUUAAUUCUCAGCCACUGUGAACAGACCCUGAGUGGCUGCAGCAAUAAACCCAGUUUAUACAAUUUAGUAACGGUUUGAUUUCUUAUUAAUUCAACUUUUCAUUUGUCAGAGGGAGUGUGUGUAUUAUUAUUCAUAUUAUUUAGUUUCAC